This is a long non-coding RNA of Athene cunicularia (burrowing owl), 3861 nucleotides long. RefSeq lists it as uncharacterized. NCBI's taxonomy places the organism in Eukaryota, Metazoa, Chordata, Aves, Strigiformes, Strigidae. The record is from RefSeq and is a predicted model, not a curated record. The transcript is spliced from 4 exons.
GCCGCUGUGACGCCUGCCGGGGCUCGGGGGUGACCUGCCAGGCCCCCUGCGGCCACGCCUUGUGCAGGACGUGUUUUGCCGCCGACAGCCCGCAGCCGGCCUGCUGCAGGGCGGCCCUGAGCUGCGGGAUCACGGGGACGUUCAGGGUCUCCUCCUGGUCCCAGAGUCUGCCUGGCUACUAUCGAGACCCAACGCUCCAGGUUUCCUACAUCAUCCCUGAUGGGGUGCAAGGGGUUGGUGAUCCCCACCCAGGACAGCCUUACAAAGGGGGAAAAUUUUAUGCCUUCCUGCCUGACAACAGGGAAGGGCAGAAGACAGCAUUGCUGCUGAAGAAAGCAUUUGAGCAUGGGCUGACAUUCCAGAUCAAGUCCUUCAAUGGAGAGGAAAGAGUGACAUGGGGCCUUAUCCCCCACAAAACCUCCUGGGAUGGAGGCAAAGACAGGAGCGGCUAUCCGGACGCCCAGUACCUGCGCGAGGUUUGCACGGUGCUGAAGAGCCUGGGCAUCGCCUGAGCCUCCCGCCACGGCCCCGCCUUCGCUUCGCCUUCCUUUCCAGCUGGCAAAACGGCAGCUUAGCACAGAUGGCUCGGGAAAAAGCAGGUGUUUGUCCAAGGCGCUCCCGUGUCCCCAGAGGCAGCCAGAAAUCCACACACUAGUGACAGCAGCAACCUCCAUCCCCACCCCCUGCCAGCCUCGGCGUAGAUCAGAGCUUCCCCGAACCUCCAGCUCCUCAGGCCGCGGGGCCUCGCCAGCUUGCACCAGCACCAGCUCCAGGCUGAGCCCAGCCUGGCUUUCGGCGGCACAACCCACGCCCGGGCAGGAGCCUGCCUGUAGCCCAGCUCAUCCCCCACCAGCCGCUGCAGGCAGGUUCCAGCUCAGCCAGAGCCUGGGCCAGAGCCGAGCUGUGCCUGGACUCAGCUGCUCAUCAGACAGAUGGACCCCGGCUGCAGCCCCUCCCCGGCACCCGCUCGGGGCCAGCAGGCAACUGCUGCUCUCUGGGGAGAGCAUUAGUGGCCCAGGACAGCUGCCUCCCCAAGAAGGGACAGUCUUGAAGGGGAGAAACACAAAUAAACAACAUUUGUUCCCGCAUUUCUAGUCGUGGUUGUUCACACCUUGUCCUUCCAUCACCCCAGGCCCCCAUUUCAGUCUCCACUGCCUACAGACACCCUGGACAGAGAGUAAGUGCAGAGGCCAGCUGAGGGGUUUGCAAACAAAAUCCACCAUCCCUGCCCUCCAGAACAGGGCAGUGGAAGUUCAAGUGCACUCCAGGCAACAAUUAACAGCUGGCUUUGAGAGCAGAGGCAUCCUCUCACCCUGUGAGAGUUCGAAUUUAGAAACUGAGCCUGUCCACCCACCGACUGCCUGGAGAAGCAGUAAAAGCAUCCCAGAGGCUGAGCUGCAGGCAGAGGGGAUCAUUCCAACAGAAGAGUGAGCAGCCGAUCACUGAGGGUUUUGUUAUGCUUUUAAUUAACAUUGGAGACACAUAAGGCAUAUGGUAACAUUAGACAGAGGAGCAUUACACAUUAUAGUCAUGUAAACAGCAUUGGCACAUUUGCUUUCUGUCCAACUUGGUUACACGCACAAAGCAGAAUAUAUUUUUUAAACAAAGGCUUUCCAUGUGUCUGUAGGAUGAGCAUCACUCGUAUCACACGUCAGCAAAUCAACACGACUCAGACAGCACAGACCAGACCGUACGUGCGAGAGGCUCACGCAUUUCACAUCAUUACUUGCCCCUCGCGCUUUGCCAUCACCAGGGCUUGGCACGCUGGAGUCGAGAUCAGGCAACAAGAGUGGUUUUACACCUCUGAGAGCAGCUGUAAGUGGGCCAGGAUCCUGCACCAGUUAAAGCCUGAGGCCCACAGUGCUUCUUACUUCUCCCUGGUCGAUGAGCUCUGGUUUAAUACAGGUGUCCGAAAUGCAACCUCCGGCUGAAGUCCUUCCCCGCCUCGGGGCACGGGGCAGAGGCCGUGCUCCUCUGCAGGAGCUGGGGCUGCUUCCACUCCCCUCCCCUCCCACAGUUCCUCAGCACGCAACGUGAGCCAGCUCGAGAGAAACCAGAGUGAAAAGCGUGACAAAAGCUGCCUGGUGACAGCAAAGGAGUCGCAUCUUGCCCAGGUCCUGCAGUACCAGCCUGGGAAGGCGACGGCAGGAGUGGCCCUGGCCCGGGCCCCCCGCGCUGAGCGGCCCCCGGCAGCGGGCAGGGCCACCUCACGCUUCCCCCUUGGACUCUGCACGGCCCAACCUGCGGGUCAGACAAUCAAUAAAAUAAACAUUAAACUGCACUCACAGCUGGAAUGGCACAGGCACCUCUCACUUCCUCAAUAGCACGACUUCACCCUAAACAGUUAAGCAACAUUGAGUGGAAUGAUUUUUAUCCUGGGGUUUUUGUUUGUUCUCUGCUUUGGUCCUUAGUAUACAAACCUGCUGGUUAAUAUUGAAUUAAGACACUUGGAAGUUGUUUUACAUUGGUUCUAUACUUAUUGGCCCAUAAAAUGUUUGUCCAUUAAAAAAAAAAAAAAGGUAGAACAACAAAACCAGAAAACAACCAACCACAAUCGCCCAGAGCAGAGCACUGAUCAGCGAGGCAGUAGAGAGCAAAGUUAUGUUUAAUCUUGGUCUUUCUGUAGAAAAGAUUGUUGCUACCAAGGAACAUAAACCAGUCAGCGCUAAACUCUAACAGAGUCACCGCUCAGCGCUCCCGCCCCGAUCAGGGCUUCAGGAAGGCGUAGGCAGAUACACGAGCAGCUUCCCGAAGAGUCAGGAGCUGGGACGGUUCCCCGAGCACCAAGGGGCGGCAGCAGGUAAAGCCUCACUCGAGGACCAGCCCGCACCCAAGCGCUGCCCUGGGGGAGACGAGGACCGGGGGGCCCAGAGCGGCUGGGACAGCCCCCGAGAGGCUGCACUGAGGGACAGGGAGCGCCUCUGCCAGCGAGUCAGCUACACCAGCGGGACCACAGAGCACUGGCAGGAGUCGUAACAGGUUUUUGGCAAUACUUAGAGAGGCCAGAAUGGAAAAGGCUCCAGUGACUUCCUAGUCCUUACAGGCAUGUGGAAGAAGGCACUGAGAUGCUGUUUUCCGUGGUGUGGCGCGGGGCAGCAGGUCGGGGGGUCCUGCGGGAAGCUGCGAGGCUCCCGCCACCCCCCCCCGCUGCGCUGCGAGAGACCGACCGUGGGCGCCCGGGAGCCAGGGCCCCACGUAAGGCACUGAGCACGCGCCUGGCCGGGCAGGGCAAGGAGGGGAGGGCACUGCGAAGCACAGCGCGAGAGUUUUCCCCUCUGCAAGUGUGCAGAACCUGACGAUGCGCAGGGCUGUGCCGGUGAGCACGCUGCUCUUUCAUCAAGGUGAAGUCCAGUUUCUCGGAGGAACGGGUCCAGACUUCCCAUUUCAGCAAUUUAGACAGUCCUUCUGUUGUCAGACCUGGUAAGGCAGCAUUAGACACUGUUGGAUUUAACCUAAAUUAGCACGACAGGGCAGGCUGAAAGGAGAAGCAGCAAGAUUUUGGCUUCAGAAAGGUUAGAAGUUGUGCUUGUGAGUUUCAUCAGACCAUGUUUAUGAAGUUCACGUAUCAGGUGCGAGAGAUGGACUGAAAAGGAUCUGUCAGGGCUCCAGCCCUCCUCCGAGCUCGCAGGGAAUGGGGUGUCUUGGUGCUUAGAGGCAGCCAGGACCAGCGCCGCAGAGGCCGUGCCUACGCGCUGCGGCAAGGCGCGGGGCUGGGCACGGAGCCCAGGCACAAGCUGCACCGAGACAGGGCCCGGCGGGAGGCUGGAGCUGGCAGGGGAAGGGGCCCCACUCUGCCCAGCACAGGGGUCCCCAGCCCCGCGCUUGGCUGCUCGGAGCCGAGGGGCCUCACAACCUUCCCUC